UAAACAGAAGUUGGUGUGUCUGUCUUCACUUACAGAAAAGCAGCACAUGCAGUUCAGAUCAGCUCUCUGCUAACAGAAGCAUCAUUGAAAAAGCCACCCGAAGAAGCACGAAUGAAUGGCUGGUGAAUUAGGCAUAUUUAUUAAUGUAAUUGCGGUUGCAAGAGGGAAGUACACCUGAUGCAGUUGUGCUUGUGCUUUGAUGUGAAUCAGACACAAUUACACAUAAAAUCCAGAAAUCUGCAGAAAAACCCCAAUAUAGUGCAGUUGUUAGAGAACAGGAGCACUGGCCCCAGAUAAUAGUUAAAGGAGAAAUAAACCCUAACAAAUGAACAUGGCCCGAGUAAUAUGUUAUGGCCAUACCAAAUUUUGUAUAUUGAAUAUACUGAAUGAACCCAAAGGUUCUGCACCUCAAUAGUAAUAAAGGAUUCAGGCCAGGGAGUAACAACUAAUUAUCCAUGCAAUUGCUUCCAGGGACUUUUGAACACUCAUGGCAGAGGAUAUAAUUGUGCCUCCCCCGACCACCCCUCACCCUCAUCCAUAAUGAAGUGCAAGGACAUUUCCCUUAGAACAGGAGACAAUGUAUGAAAAACACCUUGCUUUUGCUAUGCACCUUGCCUAUACAUAAUAAAGUUUAUUGCAACAAACAAGUAGAUUAUUACUGUUGAUUAUAUUUUGUGGACAGUCCCUUUCAUAGACUAAAUAAGCAUCCAAGUAGGAUUCUGAUGGCUUCGUGUUUUACUGUGUUUAAUCUAGCCAAGUGACUUUUUUGAGGUUCCUCAGUCAGAUGUUAUUAUUAUUGGUAUUGUCUUUUUUAUAUUUUAUUACUUGUUAUAAGAAAUACUUAUUGUAAAUGCAUUUUUGUGAUGUCAGCCAUAUAAGAAUCAACUGCUAUCUGUAGAUAAAGUAAGAGAAAAUGAGAUUAUCUGAUAUA
Molecule: long non-coding RNA, 931 nt
Organism: Xenopus laevis (African clawed frog)
Lineage: Eukaryota; Metazoa; Chordata; Amphibia; Anura; Pipidae
Exons: 3
Source: RefSeq, a predicted model, not a curated record